Molecule: ribosomal RNA, 366 nt
Filed under: uncultured bacterium
Lineage: Bacteria
Description: partial 16S ribosomal RNA
Rfam family: Bacterial small subunit ribosomal RNA
Source: RNAcentral
CCUACGGGAGGCAGCAGUGAGGAAUAUUGGUCAAUGGGCGCGAGCCUGAACCAGCCAAGUAGCGUGAAGGAUGACUGCCCUACGGGUUGUAAACUUCUUUUAUAAAGGAAUAAAGUGAGGCACGUGUACCUUGUUGUAUGUACGUUAUGAAUAAGGAUGGGCUAACUCCGUGCCAGAAGCCGCGGGAAUACGGAGGAGCCGAGCGUUAUCCGGAGUUAGUGGGUUGAAAGGGAGCGUAGAUGGGUUGUUAAGUCAGUUGUGAAAGUUUGCGGCUCAACCGUAAAAUUGCAAUUGAUACGGGCAGUCUUGCGUACAGUUGCGGUCGGCGGAAUUCGUGGUGUAGCGGUGAACUGCUUCGAUAUCACG